UACGUAGGGAGCAAGCGUUGUUCGGAUUUACUGGGCGUAAAGGGCGCGUAGGCGGCAAAUUAAGUCAGCUGUGAAAUCUCCGAGCUUAACUCGGAACGGUCAGCUGAUACUGAUCUGCUAGAGUGCGGAAGAGGCGAGUGGAAUUCCUGGUGUAGCGGUGAAAUGCGCAGAUAUCAGGAGGAACACCAAUUGCGAAGGCAGCUCGCUGGGACGUAACUGACGCUGAGACGCGAAAGCGUGGGGAGCAAACAGG
RNAcentral lists this ribosomal RNA (253 nucleotides) under uncultured bacterium. Its description in RNAcentral is "partial 16S ribosomal RNA". It matches the Rfam family "Bacterial small subunit ribosomal RNA", at positions 524 to 776 of the family's 1533-position model. The record is from RNAcentral.